GGUCCGGUAGCUCAGCGGUCAGAGCCCCACAAUCACCAUUGUGGAAGACGGCGGUUCAAAUCCGCCCCGGGUCA
This 74-nucleotide transfer RNA is filed under the name Bacteroides sp. RNAcentral describes it as "tRNA-Val". It matches the Rfam family "tRNA". Rfam says of the family: Transfer RNA (tRNA) molecules are approximately 80 nucleotides in length. The record is from RNAcentral. Lineage: Bacteria; Pseudomonadati; Bacteroidota; Bacteroidia; Bacteroidales; Bacteroidaceae.